RNAcentral lists this ribosomal RNA (429 nucleotides) under uncultured bacterium. RNAcentral describes it as "bacterial SSU rRNA". It matches the Rfam family "Bacterial small subunit ribosomal RNA", at positions 335 to 755 of the family's 1533-position model. The record is from RNAcentral.
ACUCCUACGGGAGGCAGCAGUGGGGAAUAUUGCACAAUGGGCGCAAGCCUGAUGCAGCCAUGCCGCGUGUGUGAAGAAGGCCUUCGGGUUGUAAAGCACUUUCAGUUGUGAGGAAGGUGGUGUCGUUAAUAGCGGCAUCAUUUGACGUUAGCAACAGAAGAAGCACCGGCUAACUCCGUGCCAGCAGCCGCGGUAAUACGGAGGGUGCGAGCGUUAAUCGGAAUUACUGGGCGUAAAGCGCAUGCAGGUGGUUGUAAGUCAGAUGUGAAGACCGGGGCCGUCAACCUCGGAACUAGCAUUGUAACUAGGCAGACUAGAGUACUGUAGAGGGGGUAGGAAUUUCUAGGUGUAGCGGUGAAAUGCGUAGAGAUCUGAAGGAAUACCGGUGGCGAAGGCGGCCCCUCGGACAGAUACUGACACUCAGAUGCG